UACGUAGGGGGCGAGCGUUGUCCGAAGUUACUGGGCGUAAAGCGCGCGUAGGCGGACUCUUAAGUGAGGGGUGAAAGGUUCAGGGCUCAACCCGAACACUGCCUUUCAUACUGGGAGUCUUGAGUACGGGAGAGGCGAGUGGAAUGGUCGGUGUAGCGGUGAAAUGCGUAGAUAUCGAUCGGAACACCCAUGGCGAAGGCAGCUCGCUGGCCUGUAACUGACGCUGAGGUGCGAAAGCGUGGGGAGCAAACAGG
Molecule: ribosomal RNA, 254 nt
Filed under: uncultured bacterium
Lineage: Bacteria
Description: partial 16S ribosomal RNA
Rfam family: Bacterial small subunit ribosomal RNA
Source: RNAcentral